GACAGAGCGAGCGAGGAGCCGUUCACUCCAGGCGUUGGAGUAAUGUGGUCCUCUCCAGAUAAGGAUCCGGAAGACAGGCCUUCCAUGAUUGUUCUGAAGAACACUAAUUCUGAGACACAAAAACACCGAUAUGAUCUACCAUACAAGAGAUCUGAGACACACUGUCAUUCAGAAUACAAAAUGAGUCAUCGCCGUGGUUUUCAAGGAAGAAAGAGAGGUGCAAAUUAUAUCUGGCAUAAAUUUGACAGGAGGAACAAUCAUUUUAAUUAUCCUGGGUACUCCAUAUGCCGUGGGACUGAAAAGGAGGAAAGAAAGAUACAGUUAUGAGGACCGGUAUUUUCUUACUGUGUGGAAUGAUAGAAAA
RNAcentral lists this long non-coding RNA (364 nucleotides) under Rattus norvegicus (Norway rat). Its description in RNAcentral is "long non-coding RNA NONRATT031146". The record is from RNAcentral. Lineage: Eukaryota; Metazoa; Chordata; Mammalia; Rodentia; Muridae.